CCGCAAGGCUGGGAUGGUCCUUCCGCGUAACACUUGCCGAAGCCUUAGCAGCCCGAAAGGGUGCAGUCUCAACGACUAUAAUCAUGAGAGGACUGCUUAAAUGCUAGUCUGCAUACUGCAGGCAACACUAUCAAAUUGCGGGAACACCCUAAAGACCUCAACACCAAGCGAUCGUGGGAAACCAUGGCGUGGCCGAGCUAAUAGCCCUGGGUAUGGUAACAGCUUGAGGUAUGAUGCUCUCUCGGGAGCUGAAAUGGGCAAUCCGCAGCCAAGUCCUAAAGCACUCAUGUACGGGUGCCAUGGAUGCUGUUCACAGGCCAAAUGGUAGUGGGUGAUCCCAGCUUGGGGUUGCUUAAGAUAUGGUCGGGCCCCUUCAGAAAUGUUGGGGAUAAGUUUACGCUCACGAGCAUUGCUCGUUUUUAAAUCAACCGUUCCGUAGGUGAACCUGCGGAAGGAUCAUUAUCGAGGGGGCUCGCCCCCGUCAAGAUACCACCCCUUGCCUUUUGAGUACCGUCUGUUUCCUCGGCAGGCUCGCCUGCCAACGAGGACCACAUCCAAACCUUUUUGUAUCUGUAGUAAACGUCUGAUAAAACAAAAAAUCAAAACUUUCAACAACGGAUCUCUUGGUUCUGGCAUCGAUGAAGAACGCAGCGAAAUGCGAUAAGUAGUGUGAAUUGCAGAAUUCAGUGAAUCAUCGAAUCUUUGAACGCACAUUGCGCCCUUUGGUAUUCCUUAGGGCAUGCCUGUUCGAGCGUCAUCUAACCCUUCAAGCAUUGCUUGGUGUUGGGCGUUUGUCCCGCCUCUGGCGUGGACUCGCCUCAAAGACAUUGGCGGCCUGUGUAUUGGCUUCGAGCGCAGCAGACUCGCGCGUCGUCCCCUCUAGCACCAGGUGUCCAGUAAGCCUAUG
RNAcentral lists this small RNA (907 nucleotides) under Hermatomyces megasporus. RNAcentral's name for it is "eukaryotic LSU rRNA". The stretch from base 604 to 757 matches the Rfam family "5.8S ribosomal RNA". The record is from RNAcentral. Lineage: Eukaryota; Fungi; Ascomycota; Dothideomycetes; Pleosporales; Hermatomycetaceae.